RNAcentral lists this ribosomal RNA (1174 nucleotides) under Pseudadenoides polypyrenoides. Its description in RNAcentral is "eukaryotic LSU rRNA". It matches the Rfam family "Eukaryotic large subunit ribosomal RNA", at positions 78 to 1250 of the family's 3401-position model. The record is from RNAcentral. Lineage: Eukaryota; Dinophyceae.
CCUCAGUAAUGGCGAAUGAACAGGGAUAAGCUCAGCAUGGAAAUUGGGGCCUGUGGCCUUGAAUUGUAGUCUCGAGAUGUUCCGCCAACGGAGGCGCAGAUGUAAGCCUUUUGGAAAAGAGCAUCGCCGAGGGUGAGAAUCCCGUAUGUCAUCUGCAGCCCCCCGUGCGUGGUGUACCUUCUAAGAGUCACGUUCCUCGGAAUUGGAGCGCAAAGUGGGUGGUAAAUUUCAUCUCAGGCUAAAUAUUAGUUCGAGACUGAUAGCAAACAAGUACCAUGAGGGAAAAAUGAAAAGGACUUUGAAAAGAGAGUUAAAAGUGCCUGAAAUUGCUGAAAGGGAAGCGAAUGGAACCAGUUUAGCUUGGUGAGAUUGUUGCGUGCUAGUGUGACUGCCUGCUGUUUCAAGCUUGCUGUGGCAGUAGGUGCUGAUCAUUAUGCGCGUGGUGGUUCUUGCCUUAUGUGUCAUUUUCAGUUCAUGAAAAAGGAAAACUCCAGGGACGUUGGUAGUCCGCCCCGGUUGUGUGAAUGUGUUUGGUGGAAUUUUUCCGUGUGCUGAAUCCUUGAUUAGAUGACUAAAUGGUUCCAUCUGACCCGUCUUGAUAACACGGACCAAGGAGUCUAACAUAUGCGCGAGUUCAUGGGCGGAUAAACCUGCUUGCGCAAUGAAAGUGACUGUUGGGAUUUUUGCACCAACAACCGACCAAUCAAUUGAGAGAGGUUUGAGUGUGAGCGUAUGUGUUAGGACCCGAAAGAUGGUGAACUAUGCCUGAGAAGGGCAAACUCAGGGGAAACUCUGAUGGAGGCUCGUAGUGAUACUGACGUGCAAAUCGUUCGUCGUACUUGGGUAUAGGGGCGAAAGACUAAUCGAACCAUCUAGUAGCUGGUUCCCUCCGAAGUUUCCCUCAGGAUAGCUGGAGUUGAGCAGUUUUAUGAGGUAAAGCGAAUGAUUAGAGGAAUCGGGGACGCGUUGUCCUCGACCUAUUCUCAAACUUUAAAUGGGUACGAUCCAAUGGUUACUUGUGUGAACUUCUGGGAUAAAUGACAACUCUAAGUGGGCCAUUUUUGGUAAGCAGAACUGGCGAUGAGGGAUGAACCUUACGUUGGGUUGAAGUGCUUAAUUGCUCGCUCAUCAGAUACCAUAAAGGGUGUUGGUUCAUUUUAACAGCAGGACGGUG